This 378-nucleotide unclassified non-coding RNA is filed under the name plant metagenome. RNAcentral's name for it is "partial contains 5.8S ribosomal RNA, internal transcribed spacer 2, and large subunit ribosomal RNA". The stretch from base 1 to 105 matches the Rfam family "5.8S ribosomal RNA", at positions 50 to 154 of the family's 154-position model. The record is from RNAcentral.
GAAAUGCGAUAAGUAAUGUGAAUUGCAGAAUUCAGUGAAUCAUCGAAUCUUUGAACGCACCUUGCGCUCCUUGGUAUUCCUUGGAGCAUGCCUGUUUGAGUAUCAUGAAAUCUUCAAAGUAAAUCUUUUGUUAACUCAAUUGGUUUCUACUUUGGUAUUGGAGGUCUUUGCAGCUUCACACCUGCUCCUCUUUGUUCAUUAGCUGGAUCUCAGUGUUAUGCUUGGUACCACUCGGCGUGAUAAGUUAUCUAUCGCUGAGGACACUGUAAAGGGUGGCCAAGGUAAAUGCAGAUGAACCGCUUCUAAUAGUCCAUUGACUUGGACAAUACUUUUAUGAUCUGAUCUCAAAUCAGGUAGGACUACCCGCUGAACUUAAGC